Molecule: ribosomal RNA, 477 nt
Filed under: uncultured Oceanospirillaceae bacterium
Lineage: Bacteria; Pseudomonadati; Pseudomonadota; Gammaproteobacteria; Oceanospirillales; Oceanospirillaceae
Description: bacterial SSU rRNA
Rfam family: Bacterial small subunit ribosomal RNA
Source: RNAcentral
GGCGAACGGGUGAGUAACGCGUAGGAAUCUACCGAUUAGUGGGGGAUAGCCCAGGGAAACUUGGAUUAAUACCGCAUACGCCCUACGGGGGAAAGCGGGGGAUCUUCGGACCUCGCGCUAAUCGAUGAGCCUGCGUAAGAUUAGCUUGUUGGUGAGGUAAGAGCUCACCAAGGCGACGAUCUUUAGCUGGUCUGAGAGGAUGAUCAGCCACACUGGGACUGAGACACGGCCCAGACUCCUACGGGAGGCAGCAGUGGGGAAUAUUGGACAAUGGGGGCAACCCUGAUCCAGCCAUGCCGCGUGUGUGAAGAAGGCCUUCGGGUUGUAAAGCACUUUCAGAUGUGAGGAAAGGUGUGUGCUUAAUACGUACAUACUGUGACGUUAGCAUCAGAAGAAGGACCGGCUAACUCCGUGCCAGCAGCCGCGGUAAUACGGAGGGUCCGAGCGUUAAUCGGAAUUACUGGGCGUAAAGCGCGC